AGUGAACGCUGGCGGUAGGCCUAACACAUGCAAGUCGAACGGCAGCACAGUAAGAGCUUGCUCUUACGGGUGGCGAGUGGCGGACGGGUGAGGAAUAAAUCGGAAUUUACUUUUUCGUGGGGGAUAACGGAGGGAAACUUAUGCUAAUACUGCAUACGACCAACGGGUGAAAGCAGGGGAUUUUCGGACUUUGUGCGAUUGUAGGAGCCGAUGUCGGAUUAGCUAGUUGGCGGGGUAAAGGCCCACCAAGGCUAAUUUCCGUAGCUGGUCUGAGAGGAUGUUCGGCCACUCUGGAACUAAGACUCGCUCCAGUCUCCUACGGGAGGCGGCUGUCGGGAAUCUUAUACAAUUGGCGCAAGCCUAAUCCAGCCCUCCCGCGUGCAUUCAAAAGGCCUUCGUUUUGUAAGGCCCUUUUGUUGUGAGAGAAGAGCAGCAGGUUAUUACCCCGCUGUUCUGACGGUACCCAAUGACUAAGCACCGGCUAGCUUCGUG
RNAcentral lists this ribosomal RNA (492 nucleotides) under uncultured bacterium. RNAcentral describes it as "partial 16S ribosomal RNA". It matches the Rfam family "Bacterial small subunit ribosomal RNA", at positions 29 to 507 of the family's 1533-position model. The record is from RNAcentral.